GGCGAUCAGAUACCGCCCUAGUUCUGACCGUAAACGAUGCCAACUAGCGAUCCGCCAGUCGACUCAUCGCUCUGGUGGGGAGCUUCCCGGAAACGAAAGUCUUCCGGUUCCGGGGGAAGUAUGGUUGCAAAGCUGAAACUUAAAGGAAUUGACGGAAGGGCACCACCAGGAGUGGAGCCUGCGGCUUAAUUUGACUCAACACGGGGAAACUCACCCGGCCCGGACACCGUAAGGAUUGACAGAUUGAUAGCUUUUUCAUGAUUCGGUGGAUGGUGGUGCAUGGCCGUUCUUAGUUCGUGGAGCGAUUUGUCUGGUUUAUUCCGAUAACGAGCGAGACUCUGGCCUACUAAAUAGUUGACGCAUUGCCACUGUGCGCACAACUUCUUAGAGGGAUUUUCGGUGUUUUCAACCGCACGAAAUUGAGCAAUAACAGGUCUGUGAUGCCCUUAGAUGUCCGGGGCUGCACGCGCGCUACACUGGCAAACGCAAUGUGCCUGUCCUGCCCCGAAAGGAGCGGGUAAACCCCUGAAAUUUUGCCGUGAUUGGGAUCGGACAUUGCAACUAUUGUCCGUGAACGAGGAAUUCCUUGUAGGGGCGAGUCAUCAACUCGUCCCGAAUACGUCCCUGCCCUUUGUA
RNAcentral lists this ribosomal RNA (636 nucleotides) under Rotylenchulus reniformis. RNAcentral describes it as "SSU rRNA". It matches the Rfam family "Eukaryotic small subunit ribosomal RNA", at positions 1003 to 1664 of the family's 1831-position model. The record is from RNAcentral. Lineage: Eukaryota; Metazoa; Nematoda; Chromadorea; Rhabditida; Hoplolaimidae.